Molecule: unclassified non-coding RNA, 431 nt
Filed under: Hevea brasiliensis (rubber tree)
Lineage: Eukaryota; Viridiplantae; Streptophyta; Magnoliopsida; Malpighiales; Euphorbiaceae
Source: RNAcentral
GGAAAUUCUAUUCGGAUUUCUCCGAUUGCGCCGCAGUUGUAUAAAGUUUCAAUCCAUUUCCUAGUUCUGCUCUUAAUACAUCCCUUCAAUGGCUGACUCUACCUUACCUUCUCCAAGAAGAGAUUCAAUCAAGUCUUCGGUUGGGAAUGUUGCGGCUCAUCGAAGACGACAGCAUGCGGUUGCAGUGGGAAAGGAAAGAAGAGACUUGUUGGUGCGCGCAAAGCGCUUCUGCAGAAUUGGGAUUGGUGAUGACGCUGCUGUCGACAAUGAAAUGAUAAUGGACGAAGAGUUGUCAAUUUUGGAAGUUCAAACUUCUUCAGCAGUGGACGAGCUCAAAUCCGCAGUUGCAUACCAGGGAAAAGGUGCAAUGCAGAAGAGAAUUCAUGCCCUUCGAGAACUAAGACGCUUAUUAUCACGAUCAGAAUUCCCUC